GACGAACGCUGGCGGCGUGCUUAAUACAUGCAAGUCGAACGGAAAGGCCCUGCUUUUGUGGGGUGCUCGAGUGGCGAACGGGUGAGUAACACGUGAGUAGCCUGCCCUUGACUUUGGGAUAACUUCAGGAAACUGGGGCUAAUACCGGAUAGGAGCUCCUGCUGCAUGGUGGGGGUUGGAAAGUUUCGGCGGUUGGGGAUGGACUCGCGGCUUAUCAGCUUGUUGGUGGGGUAGUGGCUUACCAAGGCUUUGACGGGUAGCCGGCCUGAGAGGGUGACCGGCCACAUUGGGACUGAGAUACGGCCCAGACUCCUACGGGAGGCAGCAGUGGGGAAUAUUGCACAAUGGGCGGAAGCCUGAUGCAGCAACGCCGCGUGCGGGAUGACGGCCUUCGGGUUGUAAACCGCUUUCGCCUGUGACGAAGCGUGAGUGACGGUAAUGGGUAAAGAAGCACCGGCUAACUACGUGC
Molecule: ribosomal RNA, 469 nt
Filed under: uncultured bacterium
Lineage: Bacteria
Description: partial 16S ribosomal RNA
Rfam family: Bacterial small subunit ribosomal RNA
Source: RNAcentral